UACGAAGGGGGCUAGCGUUGCUCGGAAUCACUGGGCGUAAAGGGCGCGUAGGCGGAUCUUUAAGUCGGGGGUGAAAGUCUGUGGCUCAACCACAGAAUUGCCUUCGAUACUGGGGAUCUCGAGACCGGAAGAGGUGAGUGGAACUGCGAGUGUAGAGGUGAAAUUCGUAGAUAUUCGCAAGAACACCAGUGGCGAAGGCGGCUCACUGGUCCGGUUCUGACGCUGAGGCGCGAAAGCGUGGGGAGCAAACAGG
RNAcentral lists this ribosomal RNA (253 nucleotides) under uncultured bacterium. Its description in RNAcentral is "partial 16S ribosomal RNA". It matches the Rfam family "Bacterial small subunit ribosomal RNA", at positions 524 to 776 of the family's 1533-position model. The record is from RNAcentral.